This 440-nucleotide ribosomal RNA is filed under the name uncultured bacterium. RNAcentral's name for it is "partial 16S ribosomal RNA". It matches the Rfam family "Bacterial small subunit ribosomal RNA", at positions 338 to 795 of the family's 1533-position model. The record is from RNAcentral.
CCUACGGGAGGCAGCAGUGGGGAAUAUUGCACAAUGGGGGAAACCCUGAUGCAGCGACGCCGCGUGAGUGAAGAAGUAUUUCGGUACGUAAAGCUCUAUCAGCAGGGAAGAAAAUGACGGUAACUGAACAAGAAACCCCGGGUAACUACCGUCCCACAGCCGCGGGAAUACGUAGGGGGCAAGCGGUAUCCGGAUUUACUGGGUGGAAAGGGUGCGUAGACUGCAGCACAAGGCUGGAGUGCAAUGCCGGGGCUUAACCCCGGAGCUGCUUUGGAAACUGUGCAGCUUGAGUGCAGGAGGGGUAAGUGGAAUUCCUGGUGUAGCGGUGAAAUGCGUAGAUAUUAGGAGGAACACCGGUGGCGAAGGCGGCUUUCUGGACUGUAACUGACGUUGAGGCUCGAAAGCGUGGGGAGCAAACAGGAUUAGAUACCCCUGUAGUC